GGUUGGCAGCGUGUUGCCAGAGUUGUUGAAGUGCAGCCCGUCUGCUCUGAAGAGAAGCCUCCUGUCCCCGUAAACAGUCGGACUGUCUAUGAAGCCCAAACUGUGGGCGUCACAGGCUGAGCAGAGCCAGGUGCUGAGGCUGAGCAGCCCGCCGAACCGCCCCAUUCCGCGGACACAGGUGGGAGUUGAGCCGGAGAUGAAGACACUGUGGUGGGACUGUUUCACAGACAAGACAGCGGGAAAAGUCCUGCUCAUCCAGGAUGUUGUACCUGUUACUCAGGUGGAGUUGUCAGGGAGGUGGAGAAUGUUCUUAUGGACUGUGGACCACGGCAUCAGCGCUGGACCGGAGCUGAUCGGUUUCUUCGGUGUAGCUCCCUGGGGCAGCCAGCGGCCCUCGGCCGGGCAGCUCCGGCUCCUCUUCAGCUGAGCCGGUGGCAGCGGAGAGGAGAUCCGUCCCUUCAGAUCGGUGAUGGUUUGGGUUAAGCAGAUACAUCUGUCGCACCCGGAUGGAGAGGUGAGUGGAGGCAUGUUGGGGCUGGAUAGAUCAGCUUCCGGUGGUUAGCAUGUCCGUUAGCUAGCUAGCCUACACGCUAACAAACGGAGCUAUGCUAACGACCAGCAGCAGAUGGGUAAAGUCUUUUGACCUCGUUAAACGUGAUAAAACGCCGGUUAAACAACCAGAGUCUAAAACCUGUGGCAGGAUUAUCGAACUGGUUAAAACUCGAGGGAAGUCAGGAGAGCGAGAAGCAGAGGAAUGUGUUCAUGACCUGGUGAGCCACAGUGAAAAUGUGCCACAGCUAAAAGGUGAGCAGCACAGCGUCUGAUUAGGACAUGAAUCUAAAAUGUAAUUACAGAGUGAGUGGGCCUGUCUGUGACCUGACGACAGGACUAACUAACUGCACAAUCAGUAUUCCUACGCCUUCACGCUGCACACAGGAGACAAAGCUCCUCAAAUGUGUCAAUUAACCAAAAAACCCACUAUCACGCUCCCAGUUCCUCGGGUUGUAAUGGAAUCCAUUUAUUUCAGAGAAGCUUCAGGUGGUUUCAUAUGUCUUUUCUUGUAUUUUAGUUUCACAAUCCCAGCUCUCACUUUCACACCACCACUCGUUCAUUACUCCCUCUCCCUGCAGCCAGCAGCUCUGCAGGCUGUUCAGUCAGUGAUCCGAUGUCAUUUGGGGCUAAUUGCAGCUGUAAUGAGUUUGAAUAGUUUUGUGAAACAACGGCUAAUGUACCAUAACUUCUACAGUAGUGUGUCUGUCUGCAUUAUUCAGCUGUGUCUGGCGUACACGCCGGGCAGACACCUAACUGGAAUGAGAGGAAGAGGCGUCAGUCUGCAGCCAGUUUGUCUUUGCAUUACCUUCAUUUAUUCACUCUGUGUAAAUUCAAAUGUAUUUGUCAGAGAAAGGUGCAUGUAGCUGCUGUGAAGAGUUGACAAAACGCUUAGUUUGAUGUCAAACCUUGUGCGAACUAAAGCUUCUUCCUGGAGCAACUGUUCUCAUUACUGCUGUUAAAACAGUAUCGAGCUGAGCUGCUUACGAGUCUCUUCACCAGUCGUGCCAGAUUGUAGUGAUGUAAUGAAGUAAGCCUCACUGAAGUGACCACUGCUCUAAGACUGUGUUUAACUUCACCUUUAAUUGACUUUAAUAACCUUUUAUGCCUUUUGAUCCAGAUGUGACAGCAGCAGGAUGAGUCACAAAGAAAAACAUCUGCAGAUGUUUAAAGAUAAAUCAGAUGAAUCCAUGAAGAAAAGUUCAAAUUCUGAGAAUCAGGCUCCUCCAGCUCGUCUGACUCAGGUUGUUUAAUCAUAUUUUAAAUUCUCUGACAGAUGAAUUUAAAACCAUUUUCACAGCACGCUGCUUGUAGAACAGGAGAUCAGGGACACUGAGGAGCAGCACAGUGAGACUGAUGAAUAGAAGCAGUAAAGUUGUAUGACACUGAUCAGCCUGACCAGGCUUCAGGGACACCGGGGACACUGCUGUCUGCACACACUGAAGCUAUGAGAGGAUCACCAUUUUUAAAGAAAAACCAUGUUGAGUGUUUCUAAUGGUGGCGAUGAUUCAUGAUGGAGGCGAGGUUCUCUUUCUCUUUCAUUUAAAUUUUAAUCUGUAGCUUUCCUCACAUUUUCCCCAGCUUCCCUGAAGCAGACAGGAAACUGACAGUGGAAGGAGCCGCACGUCAGCUGAAACAUGCAAUCUCUGAAAAAGUGGCAGAAAUAUGCAGAGCUGUAAAGUCACUGAUCGAAUAUGUGGAUGAUUUUGUUGAACAUGCAACAGAGCCAGACGUAACAAACAGCCGUGAACCGUCUGCGAAGCUCGAAGAGGAAAUUCAGUCUGAGACGAACUGAUCUGACAGGUGUGUCGUUCUUGAUGAAUAUGUAGAAACCGGCCGGCCCUCUUAUCGAUCAGCCAGCAGAGACCUCACAUCUCCAGGCACGAAAAUCACCAGCGACAAGGCCGAGCCGCCCACCGCACCAAUCCAUCACCUCUCAUUUUAUGACUCCCACCUCCAGAUCAAUACUGCACAGAUGGAGGGACAGACAGGAGGACAGGCAGCCGGUGAGGGACACAGGCAAAGUGGGCUCAUGGGAAACAUGCAUCCUGUCACGCAGACGUCUUGACUGUAGAUUAACGUCACCAACAGGAAGUGAUCAACAUCUGGAGGUGUCAGAGCCUAUCUGUCCGUCCUCCCUGCUGCCGACUGCUUCCUCAUGAAGAGAACAACAUCGUUUGUGUCUGACAAAAAGCUCCAGUGAUUUAGGAGCUAAAGCCUCUGCCAGAGCAAAGUCUGCACACAGAGGAAGACCGAGGGACGGCUUAUCGCAGACUGACAGGAUAGAGGAGGGACGGAUACAGAUUCAAUCCUGAGUCAACGCUCCACUGCUCAGACUCAUCCCCCUGCCGCCUGCGACCCUCUCCCUCCUCCAUCAGCCUCCUGCUCUGGUCCGUGUGGAGCUGGGAGGAAUAACUCACCGCCGGCCCACAGUAAUACCAGGCUGGUUAUCGAUUAGAGAGCCGGCCGGGGAGAGAUCAGCUUCUUCAAACACAGACAGAGAUGGAGUUGUUUUACGGGGAUGUGUUCGAGGGACAUUCACAGAGCUGCAGUGCUGUGGAAGACCUGAGGAAAUGAACCAGAGUGCAUCUGAAAUUAACUUCUUAACACUCUGGAGGUCCCGUCCUCAUGUGAUGCGUGACUUCAGAGAAGAGAGAGCCUUGAGUCGUCAAGAUGUGAGAAUUUGGUCACUUCCACGUUCACGUUCCAAGAUGUCGCCUCGUUUCCAGGGAGCCAAAGUCCUGACAUGUUAUUUUGAAUGAGGUUUCCUUCAGAAACCAAACUGAACUUUAGUCGUCAGCUCCACUGACAGUUGCUCCUGAAAUGUUCCUGUGGCAGCAGGCGGGGAAAAUAAUAAAAUGGGAAGAAAAUGACGAUGUUGGUUGGUGGAAGGACCCACAGGAGACGGUCAGAGGAAAUCCUUUACUGAGGAGUUCACAGAGUUUUCUAUGCAAAACAGAAGCUGCAGAAAACUAAAGCAACCGAGAGACUGAAAAUACUCAAACGCUGCACUGAGCGCUGCACGUUCCAAGCGAGGAGCUGCAAUGUUCUGGCGGCAGCAUCCUUCCAGCCCUCACCUUAAAUAAACCACGGAUGAGGAUCCUCCACAGGUGUCCUCUCAGCAGGACUCCACAGGUGUGCUGCUUCUCCCAUGGAGAAGAGAGAGAGAGAGAGAGAACCAAAGCACACCAGGCUCACAGCCUUCACUAUAAAAGCAGGCUGAAAAAAUAAAUAGAACACACACUCAGACAGGGCUCAGGGGGGAGGGAUCGUCACACCCAGUGGGUGGGGGGGGGGGGGGGGGGGGGUGUGAUAUGGAGGUUAAUACUCAGUGUGCUCAUGUUCAUAUUUUUGAAAUAGAGGGUUUCCAUCCACAGCGGCAGCUUUGUUUACUUUCUCCUCUGUGUCCCAGCAGAGGAAUCGUCUCUGUGCUGCGUAUCAGCGCUGCCUUAAAUCAGACAGUGAGUCCCUGACAGGUCCAUUACUGUCUGACCUUCAGAGCUUCAAACACAGAGUGAAGCAGGUGACGAGUGUGUGCUGACGGCUGACACCUCAUGCUCAUUGUCACUAAAUUUAUUAAGACUGGGAAAAAACUGAUGCUAUUAAAAUCCAUCUGAAUGUCCUGCAGUGUUUUCUGCUGUGAGGGGAGGAACGUUUCACUGCAUUACAAAGUAAAAGUCCCACAUUCAAAGGCAUCUGUAUUAGUACAAAACACCGGCACUGCUUAUUUCACUUCUCACUGUCGUUACUGGGAUUUCAUUCUUUUAUUUUGUAGUGAUUUUGUUUUCUUACAGCAGCUUCUAUAAAAGUUCCACGGCUCCACCAUUCGCUCUCAUGUCAUCAAACUCCCACCUCCACGUUUCACAGUCGGCACUGAGCCGUCACUGUGCUGGUCCUGGUCCAGGUCCAACCAAACAUGCUGGACUCCAUCAGAUCCAAACCAAUGUAUUUUGGUUUUAUCUGACCAAAGAAUGAGCUGCCGA
This is a long non-coding RNA of Toxotes jaculatrix (banded archerfish), 4532 nucleotides long. RefSeq lists it as uncharacterized. Lineage: Eukaryota; Metazoa; Chordata; Actinopteri; Toxotidae. The record is from RefSeq and is a predicted model, not a curated record. The transcript is spliced from 8 exons.